Molecule: ribosomal RNA, 497 nt
Filed under: uncultured bacterium
Lineage: Bacteria
Description: partial 16S ribosomal RNA
Rfam family: Bacterial small subunit ribosomal RNA
Source: RNAcentral
GAUGAACGCUGGCGGCGUGCCUAAUACAUGCAAGUCGAGCGAACAGACGAGGAGCUUGCUCCUCUGACGUUAGCGGCGGACGGGUGAGUAACACGUGGAUAACCUACCUAUAAGACUGGGAUAACUUCGGGAAACCGGAACUAAUACCGGAUAAUAUAUUGAACCGCAUGGUUCAAUAGUGAAAGACGGUUUUGCUGUCACUUAUAGAUGGAUCCGCGCCGCAUUAGCUAGUUGGUAAGGUAACGGCUUACCAAGGCAACGAUGCGUAGCCGACCUGAGAGGGUGAUCGGCCACACUGGAACUGAGACACGGUCCAGACUCCUACGGGAGGCAGCAGUAGGGAAUCUUCCGCAAUGGGCGAAAGCUUGACGGAGCAACGCCGCGUGAGUGAUGAAGGUCUUCGGAUCGUAAAACUCUGUUAUUAGGGAAGAACAAAUGUGUAAGUAACUAUGCACGUCUUGACGGUACCUAAUCAGAAAGCCACGGCUAACUACGUG